AGCUUUACUCAGUGGCAAUAUCGUAGCCAAUGAGGUUUAUCUGAGGCACGAUUACUGCUAAUUGAAAACUUUUCCCAAUAUACUGAAUAAUACUCUAAUAUAGGUCCUCUGGGCAAAGUUAUGCUUUUCCCUCUCCAGA
Small nuclear RNA from Heterocephalus glaber (naked mole-rat), 139 nucleotides. Its record names the gene U4. It matches the Rfam family "U4 spliceosomal RNA". From Rfam's summary of the family: U4 small nuclear RNA (U4 snRNA) is a component of the major U2-dependent spliceosome. The structure of U4 snRNA from yeast and human has been reported. The record is from Ensembl. Lineage: Eukaryota; Metazoa; Chordata; Mammalia; Rodentia; Bathyergidae.